AUACGGGGGGAGCAAGCGUUGUCCGGAUUUAUUGGGUUUAAAGGGUGCGCAGGCGGUGCGUUAAGUCAGUGGUGAAAUCUUCCGGCUCAACCGGGAAACUGCCAUUGAUACUGGCGCACUUGAGUACGGACGAGGUAGGCGGAAUUUAUGGUGUAGCGGUGAAAUGCAUAGAUACCAUAAAGAACACCGAUAGCGAAGGCAGCUUACCAGACCGUAACUGACGCUCAGGCACGAAAGCGUGGGGAGCAAACAGGAUUAGAAACCCUAGUAGUCC
RNAcentral lists this ribosomal RNA (274 nucleotides) under uncultured bacterium. RNAcentral's name for it is "partial 16S ribosomal RNA". It matches the Rfam family "Bacterial small subunit ribosomal RNA", at positions 523 to 796 of the family's 1533-position model. The record is from RNAcentral.